This 253-nucleotide ribosomal RNA is filed under the name uncultured bacterium. Its description in RNAcentral is "partial 16S ribosomal RNA". It matches the Rfam family "Bacterial small subunit ribosomal RNA", at positions 524 to 776 of the family's 1533-position model. The record is from RNAcentral.
UACGGAGGGUGCAAGCGUUAUCCGGAAUCAUUGGGUUUAAAGGGUCCGCAGGCGGAUGUAUAAGUCAGUGGUGAAAUCCCGUAGCUUAACUACGGAACUGCCAUUGAUACUGUACAUCUUGAAUUCGGUCGAAGUGGGCGGAAUAUGUCAUGUAGCGGUGAAAUGCAUAGAUAUGACAUAGAACACCUAUAGCGAAGGCAGCUCACUAGGCCUGAAUUGACGCUCAGGGACGAAAGCGUGGGGAGCGAACAGG